Molecule: ribosomal RNA, 1801 nt
Filed under: Saxicola maurus maurus
Lineage: Eukaryota; Metazoa; Chordata; Aves; Passeriformes; Muscicapidae
Description: SSU rRNA
Rfam family: Eukaryotic small subunit ribosomal RNA
Source: RNAcentral
CCUGGUUGAUCCUGCUAGUAGCAUAUGCUUGUCUCAAAGCUUAAGCCGUGCAUGUCUAAGUACAUACGGGCAGUACAGUGAAACUGUGAAUUAAAUCAAGUUAUGGCUCCUUUUGCUUCUCUUCUGCUCCUUGGAUAACUGUGGUAAUUCUAGAGCUAACACAUGCCAACGAGCACCAACCUCCGGGGACGCGUGCAUUUAUCCAACCAAAACCUACCUGGGCCUGCCUGGCAGCUUUGGUGACUCUAGAUAACCUCGAGCCGAUCUCACGCCCCCGUGGCAGCGACUACCCGUUCGAACAUCUGCCCUAUCAACUUUCAAUGGUACUGUCUGUGCCUACCAUGGUGACCACGGGUGAUGGGGAAUCAGCGUUUGAUUCCAGAGAGGAAGCCUGAGAAACGACUACCACGUCCAAGGAAGGCAGCAGGCACGCAAAUUACCACAUUACCCACUCCCGACCCGGGGAGGUAGUGACGAAAAAUAACAAUACAGGACUUUUUCAAGGACCUGUAAUUGGAAUGAGUGCACUUUAAAUCCUUGAGUGAGGAUCCAUUGGAGGGCAAGUCUGGUGCCAGCAGCUGUGGUAAUUCCAGCUCCAAUAGCGUAUCUUAAAGUUGCUGCAGUUUAAAAGCUCAUAGUUAGAUCUUGGGAUCAAGCUGGCCGUCCGCUGUGAGGCGAGCCACCGUCUGUCCCAGCAACCUGCCUCUCGGUGCCCUCUCGAUGCUCUUAGCUGAGUGUCCCGUGGGGCCCGAAGCAUUUUGCUUUGAGAAAAUUAGAGUGUUCAAAGCAGGCCGGCUGCCGGCAUACUGCAGCUAGGAAUAAUGGAAUAGGACUCAGGUUCUAUUUUGUUGGUUUUCGGAAAUGGGGCCAUGAUUAAGAGGAAUGGCCGAGGCAUUCGUAUUGUGCUGUUAGAGGUGAAAUUCUUGGACCGGUGCAAGACGGCCUAGAGCAAAAGCAUUUGCCAAGAAUGUUUUCAUUAAUCAAGAACGAAAGUUGGAGGUUUGAAGACGAUCAGAUACCAUCAUAGUUCCAACCAUAAACGAUGCCGACUGGUGAUCUGGUGGUGUUACUCCCAUGACCUGCCGGGCAGCUCCCAGGAAACCCAAGUCUUUGGGUUCCGGGGGGAGUAUGGUUGCAAAGCUGAAACUUAAAGGAAUUGACGGAAGGGCACCACCAGGAGUGGAGCCUUCCACUUAAUUUGACUCAACAUGGGAAACCUCACCCUGCCCAGACACAGACAGGAUUGACAGGUUGAGAGCUCUUUCUCGAUUCCGUGGGUGGUGGUGCAUGGCCGUUCUUAGUUGGUGGAGCGAUUUGUCUGGUUAAUUCCGAUAACAAAUGAGACUCUGGCAUGCUAACUAGUUACGCGACCCCUGAGCGGUCGGCGUCCAACUUCUUAGAGGGACAAGUGGUGUUCAGCCACCCGAGACUGAGCAAUAACAGUCUGUGAUGCCCUUAGAUGUCUGGGGCCGCAUGGGUGCUCCACUGACUGGCUCAGCUUGUGCCUACCCUCCGCCGGCAGGCGCGGGUAACCCGUUGAACCCCAUUCGUGAUGGGGAUCGGGGAUUGCAAUUCUUCCCUGUGAACGAGGAAUUCGCAGUAAGUGUGGGUCAUAAACUCGCAUUGAUUAAGUCCCUGCCCUUUGUACACACCACCCAUCGCUACUACUGAUUGGAUGGUUUAGUGAGGUCCUCAGUGGAGCCAGCCAUGGCCCUGCCGGAGUGUCGAGAAGACGGACAAACUUGACUAUCUAGAGGAAGUAAAAGUUGUAACAAGGUUUUCGUAGGUGAACCUAUGGAAG